This is a long non-coding RNA of Spinacia oleracea (spinach), 4143 nucleotides long. RefSeq lists it as uncharacterized. The record is from RefSeq and is a predicted model, not a curated record. The transcript is spliced from 4 exons. Lineage: Eukaryota; Viridiplantae; Streptophyta; Magnoliopsida; Caryophyllales; Amaranthaceae.
GGGCUCAGUAUCUUAUCUCUCUCCUCUUCCCCGUGUCUUCUUGGUAUGUUGCCACAAUGCUGUGAUUAAAUAUUUGUCAAAUGUUCAUUUCAAUGAUUAAUUAGUAGUUCAAUUUUAUUGAAUUUAAAAAAAAAAAAAAUUUAACUUCCCACCUCCUCUCAUUCUCUAUUGUUUGGGCACCGACACCACGCCCGAGGUUUCUAAAUCUCAUUCUCUAUUGGUACUCCAAAUUCUCUAUUGGUACUCACUUGUGUCCAAUAUAGACUUGUGACAAAGACUUCCUCCACCACACCCACCUUCCACCGCCUACUCCCUUCAAGCGAAAUUGUGAGUCUUCCCAACAAAAUUCACCAAAAAGUAAUACUUACCUUCAUCCCUUACAAUUGAAAUGAGGUAAAGCCAAAUCCUAAAUUACCCAUUUAAUUUUCUCUCUCCUUUGUGUUAAUUGUGAUGUUGAUCCUUCGUCGGAGAUUCGAUGUCACUACUGAUGUGUUGAUGUCGAUGUUGUUGUUGUUGUUGUCACUUCUGCUAUUGCUAUCCCCUGUUUCUUUGGUUUAGAAUCACAAAGUGAAUUGGAGACUACAAGUAAGGUUCAUUAUGAAGAAGUAGUAUGGAGUUGAAGAAAGUUGGGUGGAGUUAUAGAUAUCUCGGAGUUCUUGUUUGUCGAAGUAAAGAAUGGUUAUUAAGCCGACCGAGAAGAACGAGUUGGGGAAUAGAACAUCCGAAAUUGCGCGAAGAGCUUGCUCAAGGAGAUGCAGGUAUUGGCGUUGAAUUUUAGGUACACGUGAAGUAAAGUUGAGAGCUUAGUUGAAGUGUACUUCUAUGAAAGACUUUAAUAAGUGUGUAUAAGUUAAUUGAAUUCUUUUAGUUAUGUAAUAUUAUUAGUACUUAGCUUUGCAUCCACUUUAUAAGUAGGCGUAGCAGUAACACCCUGAUGGUGUAUUGGGAAAUUUUUAUAUGUUGGAAUGAUGUAGUUGAUGCAGGUUAAAGGAAGUAUGACGUAAUACCCUAAAUAAUAUUUUAGGUUGUCCAUAUUUAGGGAAAUGCUGUCGAAAUUUUUAAUAAUUAGUUAAGGUUAAAAUUUAAUUAGUGUCUUUAAGAUAAGCUUAAAUAGAAGGGUUGUUACAUGUACCAUGGUGGGCUACCUGCUCACAUGCUCAUUUUUUUGUGAGCAGGUCCAUUUUGUAUCAAUUGGAGUUGCUCUAAGACUUAAGGCUUAAAUUGUGUACGAAGUAUGUUACACGAUCCCAAAAGGUUAGCGGGUUUAUAUUGAGUCGGGUUAUAAUCAGGUCGGGUCAUAUUGGGUCGGGUUGUGUCGGAUCGGGUUAUAGUUGGGUCGGGUCAGCUCGGGUUGGAUUAUAGUCGGGUAAAAUCGGUUCGGGUUGGAGCAUGUCGGGUUGUAAACGGGUUUCCUGAUUAUAACAGGUUCAUAUCAUAUCGGGUCGGGUUCAUAUCAGGCUGGGUACAUAUCAGGCCGGGUUCAUGUCUGGUCAGGUCAAUUCGGAUACAAUUAUAAACAAUAUCGAGUUAUUACUAAAAUCAUAAUUUUCAAUAUGUUUAUAUUAUAAUAUGGAUAUCUUAAUUAAGAAACAAGGACGGUAACUAAAUUUUAAAAGUGUUAAAAUUUUAAGACCAGUAGAGUUAGUGAGUAUAUAGUAUAUUACUUAGUUUUAUCAUAGAUAACGAUGAACUAAUCACUAAUGCCUAAUAUUGUUCAUCACUUCGUAUUCAUGAAACAUUUAUUGAUGAAAAUUAAUACUCCUUAACUAAUAACUUAGUAACUAAUAAUAGAUAGUGAUGAACUAAUAUGUAAUGAAUUUGUAAAGUUUCUAAAUAUAAUUUUAUCAUAUAUUCAUAUCGGUUUAAACUGCAAUAAGACUAACAUGAUCAACAACAAAACGAGACAAACAAGUUCAAUUGUAUAUGAAUUAAGUCGAUUUAGUUAAAACUACAUAGUUUUCCGAUUAGUUCUUUGGUAAUAACUUAUAAUAAGAUUUGAAUUAGAUCAAUUUAGUUUAGUAAUCGAUUAAUCAGUUGAAUAUGGGUCAAUAAAAGAGUGCAAGACUAAUAAAAUAAUACAAAUUCAUAAGUUUUAUAACAUUGCCAAGAAUAUAUUAAAGAUUAUAACAUUCUACAUUUGAUUACUCAAAUAAAAGGAUUACGGGUUGUAAACGGUUCGGGUUGAAACAAUUCAGGUAAUAAACGAUUCGAGUUAAAAAAAGGUUCGGGUUGUAAACGGUUCGGGUUGAAACAGUUCGGGUUGUAAACGGUCCGGGUUGAAACAGUCCGGGUUGUAAACGGUCCGGGUUGAAAAAGUCCGGGUUGAAACAGUUCGGGUUGUAAACGUGUUUUCCCGGGUUGAAAUAGUUCAGAUGGAAACAAAUCGAGUCAUUAACGGGUUUUUCAGGUCCAUUCGGUUCAGGUAGAAACGGUUCGUGUUGCCGCAUGACGGUUUGUUAUCGGAUCUUAAUCGGGUUAAUGUUUUCGAGAUGGUUCGGGUUGAAUAUUAUCGGAUCGGAUCGGAUUUCGGGUUCUAGCUCACGGUUUAUUAACGGUUCUGGUUCUUAACGAUCGGAUUAAUCCAGCGGGUUCAACGGUUCGGGUUAAGAAUUGACAGCUCUAGGUUUAGCUCUAUCAAACGAAUUUCACAAAACCCUAAGUGUUAAUAUAGUGUAAACUAGGUUUAAAUUAAAUAAUGUGAUUAAAUUCUUAAGACAAAUCGAUUGAACGAGAUUAGAAAUAAGUAUAAUUAUAAUACCCAAAUUUUUAUUAAAUUAUAAAUAUAUUUAUCAUAUUUAUAAAGUAUCUUUAAGAGAAUUUUAAAUUAAAGUUGCAUUUAAGUAUUUAUUUAAAUGUAUUUUAUUUAAUUAGAAAUACUUAUUAUUAUUUUUUCGAGGAGAAAAAUAUUUUAAAAAUAAAUUAGGCAAGCUAAUUUUGUUUUUGGAGGAGAAAAGAAUUUAAUGCGCAAGUAAAAUUAAAAUUAGAAACCAUGUCUUUUAAUUUUAAAAAAAAGACACUCUUGUCUUUUCCAUCAUUAAAUCAUAUCCCCAAAGCCUAUAAAGAUUUAUAGGUGAUCACCCUCAAAACCCCUACUUGCGAUCGAUUUUAGCCUAAGGUUUCUUCUUCAAAGUUGUAGAUCUUGAAAAGUCAUUGAAUGUUAGCCUCAAGAAUUUUUUGAUUUCGAAAUAUAGAUUAGGAGUUAGGCCGUUUCAAAAUUUUGCAGUCCUAUUUCAAAUUCUUCUCUCCCCUUCUGUUCCCCUUGCCGCGCACGAUAGUCCCACAUAGGUCGAGCAGCACCAGCCCAGCAGGCCGCUGCCCCUCCUCACGGCCUCCGAUCCAGCCACCGUCGUCGUGCCCUUGUGCCGGAGUUGAUUUCUAGUGAGUCGUGAUUCGCACAGUGGCCCCCGUACUUAGGUAUUCCAGCGACGAGCCAAGCUCGUGCUAGACGAUGGGCAGCGGCAGCCAUGUAACGUGCAGCGACGAACCAAGCUCGUGCUAGACGAUGGGCAGCGGCAUCCAUGUAACGUGCAGCGACGAACCAAGCUCGUGCUAGACGAUGAGCAUCGGCAGCCAAGCAACGUGCACACGAGCCAAGCAAUGCCCAUAGUAGCAACAGCCACGCAUCCACUGUUGCCUAUCACUGCACCAUCGCAGCACCAAGCAAUCGUAACCCAUCGUAGCAGCAUCAUCGUAUUGCACCAACGCAGCACAACAAGAUCAUCGCAGCAACAAUGCAGGCCACGAGCAUAAUCUAGCAGCGCACAGCGGUGCGCCCGCACCAAAUGGGUGCGCCCUCACACUCACCAAUCUUGCACUCGAAAACAUUCUGCCUUGGACUGAAUAUUUGGAGUUCCCUUCCGGUGCGCCCGCACCGGCCACCGUGUCUGUUCUAUUUAAGCAGCAGCGCAGCGAAUUGACGGGGGGGGGGGGGGAGAUUGGUGUUUUAGGUCGAGCUCUUGGCUGCGAUUAGAGAGCAACGAUUUAGGAGUAGUGUAGGAUAGAUUAGAUUAAUUAGAAACACAAAUUCGUAGCUUAGAAUCUGAAUUUCGUUCUCCAUUUUUCGAAUUUCAAUUUCAGUUUUGUGUUCUUCAUUUUUAGCCUUUUUGUUCUUCAUUUUAGUUUUGUGUUCCUCAAUUUUCGAAU